Molecule: long non-coding RNA, 661 nt
Organism: Pezoporus occidentalis (night parrot)
Lineage: Eukaryota; Metazoa; Chordata; Aves; Psittaciformes; Psittacidae
Exons: 3
Source: RefSeq, a predicted model, not a curated record
ACUGGGACACAUUGAUGGACUGAAGAGGAUUCAAGCACAGAUAAUGAGGGCUGUACAGCAGGAUUUAUGAAGAAAACUUAAGCAUCAAAUGUGCACAGUUUGUCUCUGUGACAGCCUGACAUGAGAGCAGUGUAAAUACAGAUGAAAAGGAAGAGGUGUCAUUUAACAUAAUAGAAGGAUGUUGUGAGCAAGGGCUUUCCUUGGUCCUUACUUCAAGUGAUUGCUUGGAGAUUGAAGAACACCUAAAAUGCAUGCUUACUGCCUAUACACAGCUUGAUUACAAACCCAAAACAAGCAGGAUUUAGGACUGAGAAGUGUGAGAAAUUGUGUGACUCCUUACUUUAAAUCAAGAAGGCAAUCAUCUGUCAAGGCAAUCUAUUUUCCCUGGUUUAUCUUCUAAGAAGAAAUGUAUGGCUGAUAAAUUUAUAGAAGUUAACAUAAGUAGAUUAAUCUCUACGUUAUCCUGAAGGUUGCUCAACUGGGGAGAGGAGCUACGUUUGAUCAGUACAAGAACUUGGAAUCCAUAUAUGCUACAAAAGAAGCAGCAACUUCUAUCCUGUCAACUGGUUUUAAGCAUGGUGGAAAUCGUGAUGAAUGUCUGACCUGUGAUAGCCAGUCAUUCACUGACAUAUCUCUCCGUGAUGCUUACAGUGUUGCAUGA